UUGCCCUAGUAACGGCGAGUGAAGCGGCAACAGCUCAAAUUUGAAAUCUGGCUUCGGCCCGAGUUGUAAUUUGUAGAGGAUGCUUUGGGCGCGGCUCCAACUGAGUUCCCUGGAACGGGACGCCACAGAGGGUGAGAGCCCCGUAUAGUUGGAUGCCUAGCCUAUGUAAAGCUCCUUCGACGAGUCGAGUUGUUUGGGAAU
RNAcentral lists this ribosomal RNA (201 nucleotides) under uncultured fungus. Its description in RNAcentral is "partial 28S ribosomal RNA". It matches the Rfam family "Eukaryotic large subunit ribosomal RNA", at positions 75 to 281 of the family's 3401-position model. Lineage: Eukaryota; Fungi. The record is from RNAcentral.